RNAcentral lists this ribosomal RNA (511 nucleotides) under uncultured Vibrio sp. RNAcentral's name for it is "bacterial SSU rRNA". It matches the Rfam family "Bacterial small subunit ribosomal RNA", at positions 348 to 851 of the family's 1533-position model. Lineage: Bacteria; Pseudomonadati; Pseudomonadota; Gammaproteobacteria; Vibrionales; Vibrionaceae. The record is from RNAcentral.
GCAGCAGUGGGGAAUAUUGCACAAUGGGCGCAAGCCUGAUGCAGCCAUGCCGCGUGUGUGAAGAAGGCCUUCGGGUUGUAAAGCACUUUCAGUUGUGAGGAAGGUGGUGUCGUUAAUAGCGGCAUCAUUUGACGUUAGCAACAGAAGAAGCACCGGCUAACUCCGUGCCAGCAGCCGCGGUAAUACGGAGGGUGCGAGCGUUAAUCGGAAUUACUGGGCGUAAAGCGCAUGCAGGUGGUUUGUUAAGUCAGAUGUGAAAGCCCGGGGCUCAACCUCGGAACUGCAUUUGAAACUGGCAGACUAGAGUACUGUAGAGGGGGGUAGAAUUUCAGGUGUAGCGGUGAAAUGCGUAGAGAUCUGAAGGAAUACCGGUGGCGAAGGCGGCCCCCUGGACAGAUACUGACACUCAGAUGCGAAAGCGUGGGGAGCAAACAGGAUUAGAUACCCUGGUAGUCCACGCUGUAAACGAUGUCUACUUGGAGGUUGUGGCCUUGAGCCGUGGCUUUCGGAG